RNAcentral lists this ribosomal RNA (468 nucleotides) under uncultured bacterium. RNAcentral's name for it is "partial 16S ribosomal RNA". It matches the Rfam family "Bacterial small subunit ribosomal RNA", at positions 28 to 507 of the family's 1533-position model. The record is from RNAcentral.
GACGAACGCUGGCGGCGUGCUUAACACAUGCAAGUCGAACGGAAAGGCCCUGCUUUUGUGGGGUGCUCGAGUGGCGAACGGGUGAGUAACACGUGAGUAACCUGCCCUUGACUUUGGGAUAACUUCAGGAAACUGGGGCUAAUACCGGAUAGGAGCUCCUGCUGCAUGGUGGGGGUUGGAAAGUUUCGGCGGUUGGGGAUGGACUCGCGGCUUAUCAGCUUGUUGGUGGGGUAGUGGCUUACCAAGGCUUUGACGGGUAGCCGGCCUGAGAGGGUGACCGGCCACAUUGGGACUGAGGUACGGCCCAGACUCCUACGGGAGGCAGGAGUGGGGAAUAUUGCACAAUGGGCGGAAGCCUGAUGCAGCAACGCCGCGUGCGGGAUGACGGCCUUCGGGUUGUAAACCGCUUUCGCCUGUGACGAAGCGUGAGUGACGGUAAUGGGUAAAGAAGCACCGGCUAACUACGUG